GACGAACGCUGGCGGCGUGCCUAACACAUGCAAGUCGAGCGAGGAACUUGCAACUGAUUCCUUCGGGAUGAAGAUGUAGGUUUCCCUAGCGGCGGACGGGUGAGUAACGCGUGAGAAACCUGCCUUUCACUAGGGGAUAGCCUCGGGAAACCGGGAUUAAUACCCUAUGACACUUAAGGGUCGCAUGGCCUUUAAGUUAAAGCGCUUUAGCGGUGGAAGAUGGUCUCGCGUCCCAUUAGCUAGUUGGUGAGGUAAAGGCUCACCAAGGCGACGAUGGGUAGCCGGCCUGAGAGGGUGACCGGCCACACUGGAACUGAGACACGGUCCAGACUCCUACGGGAGGCAGCAGUGGGGAAUAUUGCACAAUGGAGGAAACUCUGAUGCAGCGACGCCGCGUGAGUGAUGAAGGCCUUCGGGUCGUAAAGCUCUGUCCUAGGGGUACGAUAAUAGACGGUACCCCGUAGGAGGAAGCCCCGGCUAACUACGUGCCAGCAGCCGCGGUAACGGAGUAGUACA
RNAcentral lists this ribosomal RNA (516 nucleotides) under uncultured bacterium. RNAcentral describes it as "bacterial SSU rRNA". It matches the Rfam family "Bacterial small subunit ribosomal RNA", at positions 28 to 536 of the family's 1533-position model. The record is from RNAcentral.